This 253-nucleotide ribosomal RNA is filed under the name uncultured bacterium. Its description in RNAcentral is "partial 16S ribosomal RNA". It matches the Rfam family "Bacterial small subunit ribosomal RNA", at positions 524 to 776 of the family's 1533-position model. The record is from RNAcentral.
UACGGGGGGGGCAAGCGUUGUUCGGAAUUACUGGGCGUAAAGGGCUCGUAGGUGGCCAACUAAGUCAGACGUGAAAUCCCUCGGCUUAACCGGGGAACUGCGUCUGAUACUGGAUGGCUGGAGUGUGGGAGAGGGAUGCGGAAUUCCAGGUGUAGCGGUGAAAUGCGUAGAUAUCUGGAGGAACACCGGUGGCGAAGGCGGCAUCCUGGACCAUUACUGACACUGAAAAGCGAAAGCCAGGGGAGCAAACGGG